CUGGCUUUGGCCUGGGUUGAAGGCAAGUUUCUCUCUGCUUGAUAUUUUGCUGUUUGUCCUGUAGGACACCAUGGAAAUUAUUGCUGGUGUUUUACACCCUGCUACAGGAACAGUUGUGUCUAGAGCUGUGGUUUCAGGUUUAGAUCACCAUGAGUCAGCUGCAGAAGCCAAUGUGUCUCUUUAGCUUCAUGCUGCCCUGGUCAGUUGUCUGUGAGAAGGGAAGUGGGUUUGAGGACGCUUAGUGACUCUCUCUUGAAAGCUCAGUGCUCUGUGCAGAAGGAGAGAGCUUUGCCUGUUGUAUUUGGAGCAGUGGAAGUGAUCAGAUUGUACCAUCUACUCUGGUUUUGGUUAAUAUGCAUGAAAAGAUGUGCUAAUCCUAUAA
Molecule: long non-coding RNA, 382 nt
Organism: Neopsephotus bourkii (Bourke's parrot)
Lineage: Eukaryota; Metazoa; Chordata; Aves; Psittaciformes; Psittacidae
Exons: 2
Source: RefSeq, a predicted model, not a curated record